Molecule: ribosomal RNA, 497 nt
Filed under: uncultured bacterium
Lineage: Bacteria
Description: partial 16S ribosomal RNA
Rfam family: Bacterial small subunit ribosomal RNA
Source: RNAcentral
GAUGAACGCUGGCGGCGUGCCUAAUACAUGCAAGUCGAGCGAACGGACGAGAAGCUUGCUUUUCUGAUGUUAGCGGCGGACGGGUGAGUAACACGUGGAUAACCUACCUAUAAGACUGGGAUAACUUCGGGAAACCGGAGCUAAUACCGGAUAAUAUUUUGAACCGCAUGGUUCAAAAGUGAAAGACGGUCUUGCUGUCACUUAUAGAUGGAUCCGCGCUGCAUUAGCUAGUUGGUAAGGUAACGGCUUACCAAGGCAACGAUGCAUAGCCGACCUGAGAGGGUGAUCGGCCACACCGGAACUGAGAAACGGUCCAGACUCCUACGGGGGGCAGCAGUAGGGAAUCUUACGGAAUGGGCGAAAGCCUGACGGAGCAACGCCGCGGGAGUGAGGAAGGUCGUCGGAUCGUAAAACUCUGUUAUUAGGGAAGAACAAAAGUUGAAGUAACUGUGCACAUCUUGACGGUACCUAAUCAGAAAGCCACGGCUAACUACGUG